UACGUAGGGGGCAAGCGUUGUCCGGAUUUAUUGGGCGUAAAGAGCGUGUAGGCGGCCAUACAGGUCCGUUGUGAAAACUGGAGGCUUAACCUCCAGACGUCGAUGGAAACCGUAUGGCUAGAGUCCGGAAGAGGAGAGUGGAAUUCCUGGUGUAGCGGUGAAAUGCGCAGAUAUCAGGAAGAACACCCGUGGCGAAAGCGAGAUCCUGGACGUUUUCUGACGCUGAGACGCGAAAGCUAGGGUAGCGAACGGG
RNAcentral lists this ribosomal RNA (253 nucleotides) under uncultured bacterium. Its description in RNAcentral is "partial 16S ribosomal RNA". It matches the Rfam family "Bacterial small subunit ribosomal RNA", at positions 524 to 776 of the family's 1533-position model. The record is from RNAcentral.